This 29-nucleotide non-coding RNA is filed under the name Rattus norvegicus (Norway rat). The record is from RNAcentral. Lineage: Eukaryota; Metazoa; Chordata; Mammalia; Rodentia; Muridae.
UGCAAGGGUGGCCUCUCCUUUUCUGAGGA